Molecule: ribosomal RNA, 478 nt
Filed under: uncultured bacterium
Lineage: Bacteria
Description: bacterial SSU rRNA
Rfam family: Bacterial small subunit ribosomal RNA
Source: RNAcentral
AACACAUGCAAGUCGAGGGGCAGCAUGAAGUUGCUGCAAACUUGAUGGCGACCGGCGCACGGGUGAGUAACGCGUAUCCAACCUGGCCCGCAGUAGGGAACAGCCCGGCGAAAGUCGGAUUAAUGCCCUAUCGUCUUCCUUUGCAGGCAUCCAAUGAGGAAGAAAGAUUUAUCGCUGCGGGAUGGGGAUGCGUCUGAUUAGCUUGUCGGCGGGGUAACGGCCCACCGAGGCGACGAUCAGUAGGGGUUCUGAGAGGAAGGUCCCCCCACACUGGUACUGAGACACGGACCAGACUCCUACGGGAGGCAGCAGUGAGGAAUAUUGGUCAAUGGGCGAGAGCCUGAACCAGCCAAGUAGCGUGCAGGACGACUGCCCUAUGGGUUGUAAACUGCUUUUAUGCGGGGAUAAACUUCAGCACGUGUGCUGUUUUGCAGGUACCGCAUGAAUAAGGACCGGCUAAUUCCGUGCCAGCAGCUGC